UACGGGGGGGGCAAGCGUUGUUCGGAAUUACUGGGCGUAAAGGGUUCGUAGGUGGCCAACUAAGUCAGACGUGAAAUCCCUCAGCUUAACUGGGGAACUGCGUCUGAUACUGGUUGGCUUGAGUGCAGGAGAGGAACGCGGAAUUCCAGGUGUAGCGGUGAAAUGCGUAGAUAUCUGGAGGAACACCGGUGGCGAAGGCGGCGUUCUGGACUGCAACUGACACUGAGGAACGAAAGCCAGGGGAGCAAACGGGAUUAGAUACCCGUGUAGUCC
This 273-nucleotide ribosomal RNA is filed under the name uncultured bacterium. RNAcentral describes it as "partial 16S ribosomal RNA". It matches the Rfam family "Bacterial small subunit ribosomal RNA", at positions 524 to 796 of the family's 1533-position model. The record is from RNAcentral.